UAGGGAAUCUUCGGCAAUGGGGGGAACCCUGACCGAGCAACGCCGCGUGAGUGAAGAAGGUUUUCGGAUCGUAAAGCUCUGUUGUUAAGGAAGAACGAGUGUGAGAAUGGAAAGUUCAUGCUGUGACGGUACUUAACCAGAAAGGGACGGCUAACUACGUGCCAGCAGCCGCGGUAAUACGUAGGUCCCGAGCGUUGUCCGGAUUUAUUGGGCGUAAAGCGAGCGCAGGCGGUUAGAAAAGUCUGAAGUGAAAGGCAGUGGCUCAACCAUUGUAGGCUUUGGAAACUGUAGAACUUGAGUGCAGAAGGGGAGAGUGGAAUUCCAUGUGUAGCGGUGAAAUGCGUAGAUAUAUGGAAGAACACCGGUGGCGAAAGCGGCUCUCUGGUCUGUAACUGACGCUGAGGCUCGAAAGCGUGGGGAGCGAACAGG
Molecule: ribosomal RNA, 429 nt
Filed under: Bacteroidota bacterium
Lineage: Bacteria; Pseudomonadati; Bacteroidota
Description: Bacteroidetes bacterium partial 16S ribosomal RNA
Rfam family: Bacterial small subunit ribosomal RNA
Source: RNAcentral